This 338-nucleotide ribosomal RNA is filed under the name Salmonella enterica subsp. diarizonae. RNAcentral's name for it is "partial 23S ribosomal RNA". It matches the Rfam family "Bacterial large subunit ribosomal RNA", at positions 1 to 368 of the family's 2925-position model. The record is from RNAcentral. Lineage: Bacteria; Pseudomonadati; Pseudomonadota; Gammaproteobacteria; Enterobacterales; Enterobacteriaceae.
GUUGUGAGGUUAAGCGACCAAGCGUACACGGUGGAUGCCCUGGCAGUCAGAGGCGAUGAAGGACGUGCUAAUCUGCGAAAAGCGCCGGUAAGGUGAUAUGAACCGUUAUAACCGGCGAUGUCCGAAUGGGGAAACCCAGUGUGACUCGUCACACUAUCAUUAACUGAAUCCAUAGGUUAAUGAGGCGAACCGGGGGAACUGAAACAUCUAAGUACCCCGAGGAAAAGAAAUCAACCGAGAUUCCCCCAGUAGCGGCGAGCGAACGGGGAGGAGCCCAGAGCCUGAAUCAGCAUGUGUGUUAGUGGAAGCGUCUGGAAAGGCGCGCGAUACAGGGUGAG